UACGAAGGGGACUAGCGUUGUUCGGAAUUACUGGGCGUAAAGCGCACGUAGGCGGAUUUGUAAGUCAGGGGUGAAAUCCCGGGGCUCAACCUGGGAACUGCAUUCGAGACUGCAUUGCUAGAGUAUGGGAGAGGGAAGUGGAAUUUCCGGUGUAGCGGUGAAAUGCGUAGAUAUCGGAAGGAACGUCAGUGGCGAAAGCGACUUCCUGGACCAAUACUGACGCUCAUGUGCGAAAGCGUGGGGAGCAAACAGG
RNAcentral lists this ribosomal RNA (253 nucleotides) under uncultured bacterium. RNAcentral describes it as "partial 16S ribosomal RNA". It matches the Rfam family "Bacterial small subunit ribosomal RNA", at positions 524 to 776 of the family's 1533-position model. The record is from RNAcentral.